GACGAACGCUGGCGGCGUGCUUAACACAUGCAAGUCGAACGGAAAGGCCCUGCUUUUGUGGGGUGCUCGAGUGGCGAACGGGUGAGUAACACGUGAGUAACCUGCCCUUGACUUUGGGAUAACUUCAGGAAACUGGGGCUAAUACCGGAUAGGAGCUCCUGCUGCAUGGUGGGGGUUGGAAAGUUUCGGCGGUUGGGGAUGGACUCGCGGCUUAUCAGCUUGUUGGUGGGGUAGUGGCUUACCGAGGCUUUGACGGGUAGCCGGCCUGAGAGGGUGACCGGCCACAUUGGGACUGAGAUACGGCCCAGACUCCUACGGGAGGCAGCAGUGGGGAAUAUUGCACAAUGGGCGGAAGCCUGAUGCAGCAACGCCGCGUGCGGGAUGACGGCCUUCGGGUUGUAAACCGCUUUCGCCUGUGACGAAGCGUGAGUGACGGUAAUGGGUAAAGAAGCACCGGCUAACUACGUGCCAGCAGCCGCGGUGAUACGUAGGGUGCGAGCGUUGUCCGGAUUUAUUGGGCGUAAAGGGCUCGUAGGUGGUUGAUCGCGUCGGAAGUGUAAUCUUGGGGCUUAACCCUGAGCGUGCUUUCGAUACGGGUUGACUUGAGGAAGGUAGGGGAGAAUGGAAUUCCUGGUGGAGCGGUGGAAUGCGCAGAUAUCAGGAGGAACACCAGUGGCGAAGGCGGUUCUCUGGGCCUUUCCUGACGCUGAGGAGCGAAAGCGUGGGGAGCGAACAGGCUUAGAUACCCUGGUAGUCCACGCUGUAAACGGUGGGUACUAGGUGUGGGGUCCAUUCCACGGGUUCCGUGCCGUAGCUAACGCUUUAAGUACCCCGCCUGGGGAGUACGGCCGCAAGGCUAAAACUCAAAGGAAUUGACGGGGCCCCGCACAAGCGGCGGAGCAUGCGGAUUAAUUCGAUGCAACGCGUAGAACCUUACCUGGGUUUGACAUGGAUCGGGAGUGCUCAGAGAUGGGUGUGCCUCUUUUGGGGUCGGUUCACAGGUGGUGCAUGCCUGUCGUCAGCUCGUGUCGUGAGAUGUUGGGUUAAGUCCCGCAACGAGCGCAACCCUUGUUCACUGUUGCCAGCACGUUAUGGUGGGGACUCAGUGGAGACCGCCGGGGUCAACUCGGAGGAAGGUGGGGAUGACGUCAAGUCAUCAUGCCCCUUAUGUCCAGGGCUUCACGCAUGCUACAAUGGCUGGUACAGAGAGUGGCGAGCCUGUGAGGGUGAGCGAAUCUCGGAAAGCCGGUCUCAGUUCGGAUUGGGGUCUGCAACUCGACCUCAUGAAGUCGGAGUCGCUAGUAAUCGCAGAUCAGCAACGCUGCGGUGAAUACGUUCCCGGG
RNAcentral lists this ribosomal RNA (1343 nucleotides) under uncultured bacterium. Its description in RNAcentral is "16S ribosomal RNA". It matches the Rfam family "Bacterial small subunit ribosomal RNA", at positions 28 to 1378 of the family's 1533-position model. The record is from RNAcentral.